UAUGCUUUUAAUGGAUACCUUGGUAGAAAAAGAAAUGAGGACGUUUUAAAGCACGAAAAGCAGUGGGGAAAGAGACCCUUGUUGAUCCACUGAUUUCCUUCGGUAAACCAUUAUUUUCAAACUUAACGAAUUGAACCAUCUUAGUAGUUAAGGGAAAAAAAUCAACCGAGAAGCCGUGAGUAGUGGCGAAUGAAAGCGGUGUUUAGGCCGUGAGUUUCUAUCUUUGAAUCUCACUCCUUUCUUUUGUUUGAGUUUUGUACUCAUCAAUCCUUUGAAGAAUGUGGAAUCAUUCGCCGGAGAGAGUGAAAGCCUCGUACAAAGGAAGAGAAGAAAGGUCGAGUAAAGCGAAUAUUCAUUUGUUUGAAAGUGGGGGACCCAUCCUCUAAGCCUAAAACUUUUUCUGACCGAUAGUGUAUAGUACUGUGAAGGAAAGGUGAAAAGAACCCCAGAACGGGGAGUGAAAUAGAAAACUUGAAAUUAAAAGUUGUUGAACAGUAGAUGUAUUUGUCAAUACUAACUGCGUACCUUUUGCAUAAUGGAUCAGCGAGUUAUUUUGUCAAGCAAGCUUAAGCGGUGACGUGGAGGCGGAAUGCGAAUGAAUGAAAGUUUGGCAAAGUAGACCCGAACCCGAGUGAUCUAAGUAUGAGCAAGUUGAAGAUUGGGGAAACUUAAUUGAAGGACUGAAGCCGUAGGCGUUGCAAAGCCUUGGUGUGACUUGUGCUUAGGAGUGAAAGGCUAAUCAAACUCGGAUCUAGCUGGUUCUCUCCGAAAUCUAUUUAGGUAGAGCGUCUUGUGAAAGGUUGAUAUGAGGUAGAGCACUUCAUGGGUGCGGGGGGCGUAAAGCUUUACCGUAUUCAAGAAAACUCCGAAUGCGUAUCAAUCCCCAAGAUAGACAGAACUUCGGCGCUAAGGUCGAGGUUCGAGAGGGAAAGAGCCCAGAUCGCAGGCUAAGGUCCCUAAUCUUUUUCUGAGUGUGACAAGGACGGAUGAAGUUGAAGAUCAUUUAUAAGGUGGGCUUAGAAGCAGCCAUCCUUUGUAAAGAAAGCGUAAUAGCUCGUUGUUUAAUGAUUUCAUCGACCGAAAAUGUAUCGGGUCUCAAGAAAAAAACCGAAGCCGCGAAUGAGAAAUCUCAUGGUAGGAGAGCGUUGUGUAUGUUGAUGAAGUUAAGCCGAUAGGCUGAAUGGAGAUAUCACAAUUGAAUAUGCUGAUAUGAGUAUCGUAAAAUCAUGUGAAAUCCAUGAUCACCGAAAUUUCAAGGUUUUCUGCGUUAAGCGAAUCUGCGCAGAGUGAGACGGCCCCUAAGGCACUUGUGUGAAACACAUGUCGAUGGGUACUUUUUGAGAAUCUAUCAUUGGUCUCACCUUCAAGCGGAAUUGGCUUGUUUGAAGGUUGGAAAAAAUGAUCGGGAAAAUCCUCAAGAGAAAAACCGUACUGGAAACCGACUCUGGUGAAAGAGUAGAAAUCUACUAAGGUGAUUGAAAGAACUAUUUUGAAGGAACUCGGCAAAAUAACUCCGUAACUUCGGGAGAAGGAGGGCCGUCUUCUGGACGGUGGCACGAAAUUGAGGGGUGAAACUGUUUAGCAAAAACACAGGGCUUUGCCAAGUUGUAAAACGCUGUAUAAGGCCUGACUCCUGCCCGGUGGAAGUAGCUUAAUGGGAAAGGUGAAAACUUCUUUAAAGUUGGAGCUUUGAACUGAAUGCCUUCUAAACGGCGGUUGUAACUAUAACGAUCCUAAGGUAGCGAAAUUCAUUGUCCUCUAAUUAGGGACCUGCACGAAUGGAGCAAUGAUGCCCCUACUGUCUCCAAAAUAGAUUCAGAGAAAUUGAAUUCUUCGUGAAGAUGCGAAGUACUUAGUUGAACACACGAAGACCCCGGGUUCUUGACUAUAGUAUUAUGUUGAUGAGUUUCCUCUUUUGUGUAGAGUAGGUGGGAGAACUUCGGUUCGCAAGAUGAAACACCACCCUGAAUUGGCAACUUGUCUUGACUUUCUCUAUGAAAGGACAGCUUAAUAUGGGUAGUUUUGCUGGGAUGGCAACCUCCUAAAGAGUAACGGAGGUGUACGAAAGUUGGCUCACGGGGUGUAGAACCUCGGUCGAGCGCAUUGGUAAAAGCCAGCUUGACUGUGAGAUUGACAAAUCGAGCAGAGACGCAAGUCGGUCAAAGUGAUCCAGGAGUCCAGAAUGGAAUGGCUCUUGCUCAACGAAUUAAAGAAACCCCGGGGAUAACAGGCUUAUAAUCCCCAAGAGUUCAUAUCGACGGGAUUGAUUGGCACCUCGAUGUCGGCUCAUUUCGUCCUGGGGGUGCAGCAGCUCCCAAGGGUUGGACUGUUCGUCCAUUAAAGAAGUACGUGAGCUGGGUUCAGAACGUUGUGAAACAGUUCGGUUUAUAUGUCAACUAAGCGUUGUAAAAUUGAUAGAGGCUUUCCUUAGUACGAGAGGAUUGGGAAGGCUGGACCUCUGGUGUAUCGGUUGUCAUGCCUAUGGCAUCGCCGGGUAGCUACGUCUGAAGAAAGAACCGCUGAAAUCAUCUAAGCGGGAAGUUCGUCUAAAGAUAAGUUUUUCGAAGGGAUGUAAAAGACUCUUACAUAAAUAGGCAGGGUGUGUAAAUUUAGUAAUAAAUGAGAUUUUUCUUCUAAGCUGACCUGUACUAA
This 2652-nucleotide ribosomal RNA is filed under the name Chloropicon maureeniae. RNAcentral describes it as "large subunit ribosomal RNA". It matches the Rfam family "Bacterial large subunit ribosomal RNA". Lineage: Eukaryota; Viridiplantae; Chlorophyta; Chloropicophyceae; Chloropicales; Chloropicaceae. The record is from RNAcentral.